Molecule: ribosomal RNA, 284 nt
Filed under: Prevotellamassilia timonensis
Lineage: Bacteria; Pseudomonadati; Bacteroidota; Bacteroidia; Bacteroidales; Prevotellaceae
Description: partial 16S ribosomal RNA
Rfam family: Bacterial small subunit ribosomal RNA
Source: RNAcentral
UCUUUUCAUUGUGUGCCAGCAGCCGCGGUAAUACGGAAGGUCCGGGCGUUAUCCGGAUUUAUUGGGUUUAAAGGGAGCGCAGGCGGACCUUUAAGUCAGCUGUGAAAUACGGCGGCUCAACCGUCGAACUGCAGUUGAUACUGGAGGUCUUGAGUGCACACAGGGAUGCUGGAAUUCAUGGUGUAGCGGUGAAAUGCUCAGAUAUCAUGAAGAACUCCGAUCGCGAAGGCAGGCAUCCGGGGUGCAACUGACGCUGAGGCUCGAAAGUGCGGGUAUCAAACAGG